RNAcentral lists this ribosomal RNA (198 nucleotides) under uncultured bacterium. RNAcentral describes it as "partial 16S ribosomal RNA". It matches the Rfam family "Bacterial small subunit ribosomal RNA", at positions 328 to 539 of the family's 1533-position model. The record is from RNAcentral.
ACGCUCGACACCUACGGGAGGCAGCAGUGGGGAAUAUUGCACAAUGGGGGAAACCCUGAUGCAGCGACGCCGCGUGAGCGAAGAAGUAUUUCGGUAUGUAAAGCUCUAUCAGCAGGGAAGAAACUGACGGUACCUGACUAAGAAGCACCGGCUAAAUACGUGCCCGCAGCCGCGGUAAUCUGAGCGGGCUGGCAAGGC